This 492-nucleotide ribosomal RNA is filed under the name uncultured bacterium. Its description in RNAcentral is "partial 16S ribosomal RNA". It matches the Rfam family "Bacterial small subunit ribosomal RNA", at positions 29 to 507 of the family's 1533-position model. The record is from RNAcentral.
AGUGAACGCUGGCGGUAGGCCUAACACAUGCAAGUCGAACGGCAGCACAGUAAGAGCUUGCUCUUACGGGUGGCGAGUGGCGGACGGGUGAGGAAUACAUCGGAAUCUACUUUUUCGUGGGGGAUAACGUAGGGAAACUUACGCUAAUACCGCAUACGCCCUACGGGUGAAAGCAGGGGAUCUUCGGACCUUGCGCGAUUGAAUGAGCCGAUGUCGGAUUAGCUAGUUGGCGGGGUAAAGGCCCACCAAGGCGACGAUCCGUAGCUGGUCUGAGAGGAUGAUCAGCCACACUGGAACUGAGACACGGCCCAGACUCCUACGGGAGGCAGCAGUGGGGAAUAUUGGACAAUGGGCGCAAGCCUGAUCCAGCCAUACCGCGUGGGUGAAGAAGGCCUUCGGGUUGUAAAGCCCUUUUGUUGGGAAAGAAAAGCAGCAGGUUAAUACCCCGCUGUUCUGACGGUACCCAAAGAAUAAGCACCGGCUAACUUCGUG